UGGGGAAUAUUGCGCAAUGGGCGGAAGCCUGACGCAGCGACGCCGCGUGCGGGAUGAAGGCCUUCGGGUUGUAAACCGCUUUCACCAGGGACGAAGCGAGAGUGACGGUACCUGGGGAAGAAGCGCCGGCUAACUACGUGCCAGCAGCCGCGGUAAUACGUAGGGCGCGAGCGUUGUCCGGAAUUAUUGGGCGUAAAGAGCUCGUAGGCGGCCGGUUGCGUCUGCUGUGAAAUCCCGGGGCUUAACCCCGGGCGUGCAGUGGAUACGGGCCGGCUGGAGGCAGGCAGGGGAGAAUGGAAUUCCCGGUGUAGCGGUGAAAUGCGCAGAUAUCGGGAGGAACACCGGUGGCGAAGGCGGUUCUCUGGGCCUGUACUGACGCUGAGGAGCGAAAGCGUGGGGAGCGAACAGGAUUAGAUACCCGCGUAGUCC
This 429-nucleotide ribosomal RNA is filed under the name uncultured bacterium. RNAcentral describes it as "bacterial SSU rRNA". It matches the Rfam family "Bacterial small subunit ribosomal RNA", at positions 355 to 796 of the family's 1533-position model. The record is from RNAcentral.